AUUGAACGCUGGCGGCAUGCUUUACACAUGCAAGUCGAACGGCAGCACGAGUGCUUGCACUUGGUGGCGAGUGGCGGACGGGUGAGUAAUACAUCGGAACGUAUCCUUAAGUGGGGGAUAACGCAUCGAAAGAUGUGCUAAUACCGCAUAUUCUCUGUGGAGGAAAGUAGGGGAUCGAAAGACCUUAUGCUUAUGGAGCGGCCGAUGCCUGAUUAGCUUGUUGGUGGGGUAAUGGCCUACCAAGGCGACGAUCAGUAGUUGGUCUGAGAGGACGACCAGCCACACUGGGACUGAGACACGGCCCAGACUCCUACGGGAGGCAGCAGUGGGGAAUUUUGGACAAUGGGCGAAAGCCUGAUCCAGCAAUGCCGCGUGAGUGAAGAAGGCCUCGGUUGUAAGUACGUACUUUAGUUUAAGUAAGAAAAGGUUAAGUAGUACGUAAUAA
This 445-nucleotide ribosomal RNA is filed under the name uncultured bacterium. Its description in RNAcentral is "bacterial SSU rRNA". It matches the Rfam family "Bacterial small subunit ribosomal RNA", at positions 30 to 470 of the family's 1533-position model. The record is from RNAcentral.